UACGGAGGGUGCGAGCGUUGUCCGGAAUCAUUGGGCGUAAAAGGGCGCGUAGGUGGCGCGGCAAGCGUGCGGUGAAAGCUCGGGGCUCAACCCCGAGUCGGCCGUGCGAACUGCUGGCUUGAGCACUGUAGAGGCAGGCGGAAUUCCGGGUGUAGCGGUGGAAUGCGUAGAGAUCCGGAAGAACACCCGUGGCGAAGGCGGCCACUC
RNAcentral lists this ribosomal RNA (207 nucleotides) under uncultured bacterium. Its description in RNAcentral is "partial 16S ribosomal RNA". It matches the Rfam family "Bacterial small subunit ribosomal RNA", at positions 524 to 730 of the family's 1533-position model. The record is from RNAcentral.